AUGCCAUGGUGGGGAUAUUUUUACAACAACUUCUUGAACUGCUCGCAUGCCUUAUAUAAAGAUUCUUCAUCAAGUUGCUGAAAUAAAGUUAUCUCAUUAUGGAGCUU
Molecule: small nucleolar RNA, 107 nt
Organism: Humulus lupulus (European hop)
Lineage: Eukaryota; Viridiplantae; Streptophyta; Magnoliopsida; Rosales; Cannabaceae
Source: RefSeq, a predicted model, not a curated record